Long non-coding RNA from Glycine soja, 457 nucleotides. RefSeq lists it as uncharacterized. NCBI's taxonomy places the organism in Eukaryota, Viridiplantae, Streptophyta, Magnoliopsida, Fabales, Fabaceae. The transcript is spliced from 3 exons. The record is from RefSeq and is a predicted model, not a curated record.
AUAGGAGCAGUUUAAGUUUGUCCCGUGAGUUGGUUGCUCUCACUCCAACCCAGCUUGACACUAGUUUGUUGCUGCAAUUGUUGAUCUCUAGGUGUUCAUUGAGUUAUUUCUUUGAUUCUUGCUUUCAUUUUGGACCGUGUUGCUCAUAAUCACAGGACCAAGGCUACUCCACCUGCCUCGCCUCCUCCUCCUUCUCCUCCUCUUGCAGUAGUAUCAGUGUCUCUGUCCACCCAGAAGUGGACAUGUAAAGCGACACGGCUACAAUCCUUGGCCACUAGACCACCUGGGGCAAAGAGACCAGUGGUCAACGUUGAUCCUACGACAGGCAAGGCUGAUGGUCCCCACAAGAAGAAAUUAAGAACAUAUUUGCGAAUUGUCACUCGUGAUAAGGUCGACGUCAUAUACGAGACCUGGAAGGAAGUCCCUGCUACCCAGAAGGAUUUGAUUUGGGAGGAUA